UUCUUUAUAGUUAAAUUAUAAUAUCAGAUUGUGGUGCUGAAGUUUAUUAGAGAAAAU
RNAcentral lists this transfer RNA (57 nucleotides) under Songthela hangzhouensis. RNAcentral describes it as "tRNA-His". Lineage: Eukaryota; Metazoa; Arthropoda; Arachnida; Araneae; Liphistiidae. The record is from RNAcentral.